AAGGAGGGCUGAGGAAGGGUUCCCGGAGUUCCCUUGAACCUCCGGUCAGAGGUUUGCACGCACCCACGUGCCACCGUCAACGGCGCUAUAUACGGCGGUCGGAAGCUGGAAAGCUUCCUGUUUCACCGUAAAUCAAAACGACACGUCCCUUUUGUUCUAUUUUUAUGCUUUUAAUAUGUAUUUAGAGAGAAAAAAAGAAAUAUAGUAAUCACCUAUGUAUUCUCCGAUCGACUGUUGAUUUCUUUUAGUGUAAAAUGCGUUCUUGUUUUUUAUUGAAUCUCAGUAAAAAAAAAACCUCUCCUUACAUCGUUUUAAUUCAGGCUUUUUAUAGCUACUGUACAUAGUAUUUUACAUAUUUAAUGUUAUUUCUUGCCAUAUUUGUGUUGCCUCUGUCGUUCUUCUUUCCCCUUUUGCAGGUACCAACGAGGAGAUUUAGUAGUGAACGAACGUUGACAACGGUACACCGGCGUUGAUUCGGGCGUCGACCACGGCAUGAUUCGAAGCCUAGAAUCAUGGCCUGGAACCACGAUACUGAUAGUGGGUAACUGGAACGACGCGAGAUGAACAGACGCGUUGAUUGAAAUGUUUGCGGUGCCUAGGGUUUCUGAAACCCUAGGCCUCUCUGUCUUCCGUUAGUAAAUUGGGCCACUUGGGCCCUGUGUAUUUUGGUAUCAUACAGGCUUGGGUGUAAUUGGGCCAUGGUUAGUUUUAGGUAUCUGGGCUAAGGGUUUUAGGCCUUUUGGGUGCAAAUGUAAAUGGGUAAUAGGCUGUAAAUGUAAAUGAGUUUUGGGCUUUGUACAUGGACUGUAUAAACUUUAUUAUUUUUUAAUUUAUGUUUUUGUUUUUAUUUAUUCAUUUAUGGGCCGGGCAAAUUUGGUUAUUACAGCUGCCCCUCUUUGCUCAUUAUUGUGUAACGAUAAUAGAGCAAAGACUAUAAAAGGACCCAUUUUGCCCGGUUUGCCCCAGUCUUGAGACCUUUCUUCUAAUGGCCUUCAACCUAUCUGCAACUUCAGAGGUAUUGGACUAUAAAUAUGAUAGCUUCAAUUUGCUUUACUGUAACUUCAGGAAAGCAAUAUCUAUUAUCUUCAGCCUGCUCCCUGCAACUUCAGGGACGCUAUGUUGAUAUCUUCGAUCUGCUCUCUGAUAAUACAGAGACACCAAAUCUGCUAUCUUUGAUCUGAUCUCUGACAAUACAGAGACGCCAAAUCUACUAUCUUUGAUCUGCUCUCUGACAAUACAGAGACGCCAAAUUUGCUAUCUUCGAUCUGCUCCUUGUAAAUGCAAGGAUGCCAAAUCAUCUUGGAUCUACCUCGAUGCAAAAACAUCCGAAGGUUAGAUCUGCUAUGUCUUCAUUCUGCUCUCUGUCGAAUAUGGAGAUGCCAAAUCUGUUUCUUCGAUUUGUUCUCUGACAAUUUAGAGAUGCCAAAUCAUUUUAGAUUUGCUUCAGUGUAAACACGUGAAAGCCAAAUCUUCUAUGUCUUCGAUCUGCUCCUUGUAAACGCAAGGAUGCCAAAUCAUCUUGGAUAUACUUCAAUGUGAAAACAUCCGAAGGUUAGAUCUGCUAUGUCUUUAAUCUGCUCACCGUCGAAUAUGGAGAUGCCAAAUCUGUUUCUUCGAUUUGUUCUCUGACAAUACAGAGAUGCCAAAUCAUCUUGGAUCUGCUUCAACGUAAACACCUGAAGGUCAGAUCUGCUAUGCUUUAGCCUGUUACCCUACUGCUUAGGGGGUUAAGGCGCAUCAAUCUUCAUUGUCCCUUGAAGGACAUAACCUAUAUAAUGUGUAUGAGUUCGUGCCUAAUGAUUAGGAUGCUAUGAUCGAAGUGAGUCAAAUGCUCCUAAUUAAACCUAUUAUAAUGCAAAAUGUUUAUGAAUAUGACCCCUAUUCCAGACAUCACUAGUCAUUCCUUCGUCGAAGUUUAUCCCUAUCUCUCGAAGUAUCAUUCCUAUUCAGGCUAUGGGUUUGUACCAUUCUUCAAAUUCUAUGACCCACCAAAAAUGUUUGUAAGAUGAUCCUCUCUUAAGAUCGAAUCGUUUGAUUUGUCCAAUCAUCAUUUUGGACUAAAGAAAGAAUUUCCUCGAGUUCUUUCAAACCUUACUUAUGUGAAUUCCUCGAACAAUUAUUCUGUUUUAGUUUCUUGUAUUAUCUAGAAAUUUCCAGAAUAAUAAGCAAAACUUCAUUUGUGAAAAUUAUUUAGUUCAUCUAUCAUUAUUUUAAUGUAACAUACUUUAAGAGUAAUGAAAGAUGAAUUUAAUCCUGAGAAUAAUUAGAUUUGAAUGAAUUCGUCAAAAAUACAAAGGAAAUUAAUCUGAUAGCCUAUCUUUGAGAAGAAAGAAAAUCUAAAGAUAGCAAACAGGACAAAAGUUUGAUGCCCUAGAUAUCGCCGCUUGAGCGUCUAUACACUAGCUCCAUGAAGACUUUCUUGAGUUCAACAUGUGUUUAAAAGAUCCAAAGUACUUUGUUGAUGCCCUGAUAUGCAACGUGCUUCACUCUUUGUUGAAUCAGAUAUAGCGAGAUUACCCUGUACUCUUCAAAAUUUGAGCUGCCCUUUCGGGUUUUUAACUCAAAACCCCUUCGGUCACAAGGCGCCCUUUGCGGGUUUUCACCCUGGCCUCUCUAUUUUUUUUUGAGAAACUCAAAGUGCCCUUUGCGGGUUUUCACCCUGGAUUCUCCUCCCCUUUAGACAAAGUAUUUUUUGACUGAGUCUGAAUUCACUGGAUUGGGUAAACUCUUCCCAUCCAGUUCCGUUAAGAUCAAUGCACCCCUAGAGAAAGCCUUUUUCACGAUAUACGGCCCUUCCCAAUUCGGCAUCCAUUUUCCUCUAAAGUCUUUCUGAAUGGGAAGGAUCUUUUUCAGCAUAAGAUCCCCCUCGUGGAAUUCUCUUGGUCACACUUUCUUGUCGUAAGCUCGCAUCAUUCGCUUUUGAUACAUUUGACCAUGACGAAUGGCCCUUAACCUCUUUUCCUCAAUCAAGUUCAACUGAUCAUAUCGUGACUGUAUCCACUUAGCUUCAUCCAACUUUAUCUCUGACAAGACUCGGAGAGACGGUAUUUCCACUUCAAUGGGUAACACUGCUUCCAUCCCAUAAACCAACGAGAAAGGAGUUGCCACAGUAAUGGUUCUGACGGACGUUCGAUAAGCUAAGAGUACGAAUGGUAACUUCUCAUGCCAUUCUCUGUAGGUUUUAGUCAUUUUCCCCACAAUCUUCUUGAUGUUUUUGUUAGCAGCUUCCACUGCCCCAUUCAUCUUUGGGCGAUACGGAGAAGAGUUAUGAUGCUUAAUCUUGAACUACCUGCAAACUUCUACUAUUGUUUUGUUGUUCAAGUUUAAUGCAUUGUCUAAUAUGAUCCUUUCAGGCAUCCCAUACCGACAAAUGAUCUCUUUCUUCAAGAAUCAACUCACAGCUGACUUAGUAACAUUUGCAUAAGAAGCAGCCUCUACCCACUUCGUGAAGUAAUCAAUGACCAUAAAGAUAAAGCGACGUCCAUUUGAAGCUUUUGGUGAUAUUGGCCCAAUGACAUCCAUGCCCCACAUGGAAAAAGGCCAUGGAGAAGUCAUAACAUGUAGAGGUGAAGGUGGUACAUGAAUCUUGUCUCCAUAAAUCUGACAUUUAUGGCAUUUCUUGGCGUAGUUGAUACAAUCCCCUUCUAUAGUAGACCAAUAAUAUCAAAACUUCAUGAUUUGUCUAGCCAUCGUGAAACCAUUAGCGUGCGUCCCACAAACACCCUCGUGAACUUCUUCCAAGAUUAACUUAGCUUCCACGGCGUCAACACAUCUCAACAGUACUUGGUCCUUUCUUCUUUUGUAGAAGAUGUCCCCAUCUAAAACGUAGUCGCAGGCUAAUCUCCUUAAAGUUCGGUUAUCAUUUUCAGUUGCCUGUUCUGGGUAUUUACGAUCUCUCACAUAUCUCAAUAUAUCCUGAUACCAAAGGUUAUCAUCCUUUUCUUCUUCCUCAAUGUUACAACAUCGAGCUGGAGUCUCAAAGAUACUCAUCUGAAUGGGUCUCAUCUCCUCUUUAUUUGCUUUAAUCAUUUAAGCCAAGGUUGCUAGAGCAUCUGCCAUCUGGUUUUCGUCCCAUGGGAUAUAAUUGAAAGUGAUGUCAUCGAAUUCCUCAAGUAACCCCAAAACUACCUUUCGAUAAUUGAUCAAUUUAGGAUCUCUUGUCUCCUAUUCACCUCUAAGCUGGUAAAUUACCAACGCAGAGUCUCUAUAUACUUCCAAGGUUCUUAUUCCUCGCUCUAUAGCCGCUCGAAUCCCCAUGAUGCAUGCUUCAUACUCAGCCAUAUUGUUCGUACAGUCAAAAUCCAAUUUACAUGUGAAUGGAUAAUGAUCCCCGCUUGGGGAUACGAAGACUGUCCCAAUUCCAUUCCUACCACAUUGGAUGCGCCGUCAAAGUUCAUCUUCCAUGGACGUUCUUCAAUAGUUGCCACAUACAUAAACUCCUCAUUAGGGAAAUCAAAGUUUAAUGGCUCAUAAUCUUCUAAAGCUCUGCUUGCCAGAAAUUCUGCUAUCACACUCCCUUUUAUAGCCUUUUGACUCACAUAGACUAUGUCAAAUUCUGAAAGCAAUAUUUGCCACCUUGCCAUUCUUUCAUGUAGUGCUGUUGACUCCAUCAUGUACUUUAAUGGAUCAAGUUUUGAAAUUAGCCAUCGUAUGAUAUAACAUAUAUUGUCUUAACCUCCGAGUCAUCCAAAUCAAGGCACAACACAACUUCUCAAUUGGUGAAUACCUCAUCUCACACUCUGUGAAUUUCUUACUGAGGUAGUAUAUUGCCUUCUCUUUUCUUCCUGAUUCGUCAUGUUGACGAAGCACACAUCCCAUAGAAUUUCUAAACACUGAUAAGUACAGAAUUAAUGGUUUAUCCGGACUAGGUGGAUAUAGUACUGGAGUGUUUAGCAAGUAUUGCUUGACUUUAUCAAAGGCAUUCUGGCAUUCCUCAUUCCAAGUACCUUGGUUGUGUUUUCUAAGAAGGCAAAAUAUAGGAUCACAAUUCUUAGUUAAUUGUGAAAUAAACUGAGCAAUAUAAUUCAACCUUCCAACAAAACCUCGAAGUUCCUUCUGAGUACAUGGUGGAGGCAAAUCUCGUAUGGCUCUAACUUUGUCUGAGUCAACUUCUAUUCCCUUUUCGCUGACCACAAAGCCUAGUAAUUUCCCCGACCUAGCUCCAAAAGUGCACUUUGCUGGAUUAAGUUUUAACUGAAACUUCUGUAAUCUUAAGAACAACUUCCUUAAAACUUCAAUAUGUUCCUUCUCCGUUCGAGAUUUGGCAAUCAUAUCAUCAACAUACACCUCAAUUUCUUUGUGCAUCAUAUCAUGGAAUAAGUUCACCAUAGCCCGUUGGUAUAUUGCCCCUGCAUUCUUUAAUCCAAACGGCAUUACUUUGUAACAAAAUGUGGCCCACAAUGUUAUGAAAGUAGUUUUAUCCAUCUCUUCCAGAUGCAUCUUAAUUUGGUUGUACCCCGAGAAACCAUCCAUGAAGGAGAACAACGAAUAUCCUGCUGUGCUGUCUACCAAAGUGUCUAUGUGUGGCAGAGGGAAAUUAUCUUUUGGGCUAGCUUUGUUUAGAUCUCUAUAAUCAACGCACAUUCGUACCUUCCCAUCCUUCUUAGGGACUAGUACAAUGUUAGCUACCCAUUCAGAGUACUUCACCUCUUGUAAGAAUCCUGCAUCGAACUGCUUCUUGACUUCAUCCUCUAUCUUCAAUAUGAUAUCUGGUCUCAUUCUUCACAACUUCUAUUGGACUAGUUUACAAUCCUGUCUUAUUGGAAGACGAUGUACCACGAUAUCGGUAUUUAACCCUGGCAUAUCUUGAUAGGACCAUGCGAAGAUAUUCUUGAACUCACGUAGCAACUCAAUCAGUCCUUGCCUUGUGUCCUCGGCAAUAUACGUGCUGAUUUUUACCUCUUUCCCUUUGUCUAGGGUUAUAUUCUCUAUUGCCUUUUUGUCAUGGGGCAUAAUUUGUUUCUCCUCUUGUUUUACCAUUCUCAACAGAUCCGGAGACACUUCACAAUCCUAGACAUCUUAAAAAUCCUGAGAUUCCUCUAAAAACACGUCUUGCUCACGAGAGAAAUCAGGAUUUGUAAUAUUAAUACUCAUGUCAUUGAUAUCCAGGGACCUGUGAAGUAUAAAGGAUAUACAAAGAAUGAAUGAAUUUAAGAAUGAUUAUUUAUGUGCUAUGAAUGAAAGAAUAAGAAUUGCAAAAGUUUAACGGAAUAUUGGUUGAUAAAAAUGACACAAUACUCGUUCAAAUUGAUAAAAAGUUAUGUUUUAUUUAAAAAAUAAUAGAUGAUCGUAAGCCCAUUCCACAAAUGUAAUCCUAUUACUCCUAGGCCCUAGAGUAACAAGAAUGUUUUGAAAAUUACUCUGAAAAAUUCCUAAAGACUACAGGAAGUUCCUCCGCAGUCCAAUUGUUCAAAGAGCUUCCCAGUUCGUAAGGGCGAAUGCCCCCAAGGUUUCCUUGCUCCGAUCCUUCAUCGUGUAUAGCAUUAAUCUGAUGACUUUCUUCUAUAAGUAACCCUCCCGAUAUGAAGGUUUGGGAUAGUGGAGGGAAUGUCAUCGACUCCCACUCCACUUCUCUUCCAUUAAGGCGCGACUUUCUUCCCUCUUGGCGCUUCUCAACUUCGUUCCUCCUUUGCUUAUAGUCUGGCUUGAAGCCCAAACCAAAGUGAUCUCUCCUCUCUUUCAGUUCUGGGAUUUGAGUCCCUCCUUGCAGGUAUUUUCUUAACCCUCUUCUUGGUAAGGCUCUCUUUCCCACCAUCAUUUGUAGAGCCAUCAUCGUGGCUCUCGCUAUCUUUGGCACCGGUGGCUCACUCCCUUCUGUAAUGAAGGUUGCAUUCACAAAUUCUAAAGAGCGAAAGGAACACUCAAUAUGUAACACCCCGAACCCGAAACCGACAACCGGAGUCGAACACGAGGUGUUAACUGACUUUAACCCCUUAUAAAAUUUAUUUUCCAGACACUGCCCAAUCUGUGUACUAGUCGUUUUAAAAUUCAUAUCUUGAGUUUCGUAACUCGAAAAUCAGUUUCGUGAUUUUUCCCAGAAACUAGACUCAUGUGCCCAUCUAUGUAUUUUUUUCUAGAAUUUUUGGUCGGGCCAAUUAGUACAGUUUAUUAGUCAAAGUCUCCCAUGUUGCAGGGGUCGACUACACUGACCUUUUCCCAUUACGACUUGGAUAUCUCCCUACCCAGGGCUUCAAUGCUGAUGCCGUUUGUUUCUAUGAAAACUAGACUCAGAGAGGAAUCUGUACAUAUAUGGUACAAUCCCUAAUUAUCUCGGGUUAAUUUAUAAUGAAUUUCCAAAGUCGGAACAGGGAAUCCAGAAACCGUUCUGGCCCUGUCCCACAAAAAUCUGAUUAUCUCUUAAUAUACUGCCCAUAUGAUCUUUUCGUUACUUCCUCAUGAAAACAGACUCAUCGAGCUUCGAUUACAUAAUUUAUUCAUCAAUUAAUUCCACUCCUACUAUUUUUAGUGAUUUUUCAAUCUCAUGACACUGCUGCUGCCAGCAUCUGUUACGAAAGUAAGUAGGUCCAUUUCAUGCCUACCCUUGAUCCAACUCAAUCGAACAUUCGUGCCAUUUUCGCAUGGCUUAAAGUUUACAUGCCAAAGUUCAAACACAACGUAAUAGCUUAUACAUGCCAAAAUGUUCUUCUAAGCCAACUAAGAAGAAAGUACCAAAACUUGCUAUCCGGUGUGAUGACUUCGAUGACGGCCUGACCCCGCAAAAAUAGAUGAGUCCAAGCAACCUAUAAUGGGUGACAAGGAAACACCGAGUGAGUUUAUAACUCAGUAAGUCAUAAGCAAUGCACUACCAUCCAUCAAUAACAUUAUCACAAGAGAAAACAAAAUGGAACAAGACAAUUUACUCCAUCCAUACCGAACCAUACCAUAGUUCCUCCAACCUAUCGAUUCAAUUUCAUAUCAAUUCAUGCAUUCACAUUCCAUAUACUCAUCAAUAGGACAUUGAAGCAUUUUCAUAAAUCAAUUUAUUUUCGUUACAAUCAAACGACUAAACGGCCUUUCACCCAUCCUACGAUAAAUUUUAUGUACGUGACUUCAAGUAUAUUUGUCACAUAGGUUCAAACUUACCGAGCUCAACACCAAGUAUAAGCAUAGCACCUAUUAGCCAUGUACUCAAGACACUUACCCGAUCCGCUGUCCGCGAUCGACUCGAUAGUGUCGCACACAUAGUGUCCAUAAUGAUUCACGAAUGUAUAUUGAGUCCGCACACUCAGUGCUAUAUAAUCAACUCGCACACUUAGUGCUACGUAAUCAAAUCGCACACUUAGUGCUACAUAGUCAAACUCGCACACUUAGUGCCGCAUGGUCAAUUCGCACACUUAGUGCAUCAUAUUCAUUUCGCACACUUAGUGCAACAUAGUCAAAUCGCACACUUAGUGCUGUACAAUUUACUCCCGCGCACUUAGCGCCAAUCUCAUGGUCAUAAAUGGUUAUACCCGCACGUUUAGUGCCGAGAUCAACAACUUAGUACAUCUUACCUCUUUUCUUUUCAUUCAACAAUUUCAUCAUCACAUACGUACAUGCAUAUAUAUAUAUGUAUAUUUAUUCAUUCCAUUCAGCAUCAAUACAUACACAUUAUGACCAUUUAAAACAAUACCAACUACAUGCUUAAUGACUUACCUCGUGUUGGGUAAGACGGUUCCAACUCGGCUACUCGAUAACCUUUUCUUUGCCUUUGCUCGAUUCACCUCCUUUAACUCCUUGAGCUAAAUCAAUAAUUUAACUAGUUUAACCAUCUUGCUAAACAUUCAUACUUCAAUUACACAUGCAUAUGUAUGUUUGUAUAUUCGGCAAUGACAAUGGUAAUUUAGCAACCCUUAAUUUAACUUAUAAUUGUUCAUAACACAUUUAUAGCAUCCACUCCAUUCCAUCAUUUUAAAGCACAUACAUUACUCAAUAUUAUCCAAAUUCACAUUCGGCAUUUUCACAAACACACAUGCCGAUUUCAUUCACUCAUCUCUAAUGUUAAUUAAGAAAUGUCGAAUGUCACCAACUAAAUGGCAUACACACACACCCACAUGUAUAAAAGUCAUCCACACCACCUAUAGCUCAUUCGGCCUUCACCCUUGCUAGUUUUUUCCCAUUCUUUUGUCGGUUAUAUAUACAUAGUCCUAAGGUAGUAUCACGAAUGGGCUUACAUAUAUAUGUGUAUAUAUAUAUAUAUAUAUAUAGCCGAAUAUGCAAAGCUUAACUCAACAUCACAUAAGCUCCUAAGUGAUGGCCGAAUAUGUAUAUCUAUAUAUAUUCAUCAACUAUACUAUUACCUUUAAUUUAUUUAAUCACACAAUUUCAUCUCAUGAAUACUUGACCCAUUUCUCACAAAAAUGAAACAACAACUAAAAUGAACAUCCCAUUUUUACCCCAUAUGGCCGAUUACUUCAUUAGUUACCAAGCUAACACUUCAACAAAUUUCAACCUCAUUACAACCUCUACCUAUCCAAUAUAACAUGAACACAAUCCUCCACCCCUAAAUUAGAUUCGGCAAUCACUUAACCCAUUUUAACCUCAACCUUCAAGUUAAAAGCAAUUAACCACUCACCAUAUCCUACAUUACUAUCCAUUUUAAUGACAUUACACAUCUACUAAGAGUUUCAAGCUUCUUGGCCGAAUUUCAACCUCAAAAUCCUAAGUCUAAUCUAUAGGAUGAGUAGAAUUUAAACUAACCAUCUCAAACAUGCAUAGAUUUUCAAGAAUCAUUCAAUACAUACCUCAUUCUAGUUACAUGCAUGGCCAAACCUCUUAGAAACUUUUCCCCUAGGCACCGAAUAUUCAAGAGCUUCUUAAUCAACUUGAAGAUGACCAAAUGCCUUAACUUCACUUUCUUCUUUUUUCUUUCUUUAGGUACGGCUAUUGUGGUAAGGAAAAGGAUGAACACUCCUUCUUCCUCCCUUAUUUUAUUCAUCCUUUUUUUCUUUUUAAUUCACUUCUUUUAUUUUCUAAUCUACUUACCAAUAUUAAAUAAUAAACAACAUAAACUUGGAGGAAUGGAACCAUGCUUGGCCGGCCACUCAUCAAGAAUUGGGCACCUUGACAUGCAAACCCAAACUUUCUCACCUUGUUAUUAUUUAAUCCUUUCAAUUUAUCUAUCAUCUUUUCUAAAUUUCUCAACUAAGUCCUUUCAUGAAAAUCCACAUUCCUAAGGCUAAUUUUAAACCUUUAUUAUUUCCACACAUACACUCCCACAUUUAAUAUAUGCAAUUAAAAUUAAAAUAAAUUUUCUUGUAACUCGGUUUUGUGGUCCCGAAACCACUUCCCGACUAGGGUCAAUUUUGGGCUGUUACACAAUAAACUCCUCGUUCAUCUCAACAUAAGGGGCCUUGAUAGUGACUAUGGCUAUAAUGUCCUCCUCCGCAUUGAUGGUUACUAAUCAUCCAUCCGUCACUAACUUUAAUUUCUGGUAUAACGAUGAGGGCACCGCUCCCGCUGAGUGUAUCCAUGGCCUCCUUAAUAAGCAAUUGUAGGAGGGCUUGAUAUCCAUCACCAAGAAGUCUACUUCGUAUAUACUCGGCCCAAUUUCCAAGGGGAUGUCAAUCCUUCCUAUCACCUUUCUUUCUAUACCGUCGAAGGCUCUUACCACAUUUUGACAUGUCUUCAUGUGAGAACUGUCAAUGGGUAAUCUGUUCAAUGUAAACAAUGGUAGAACAGUUAAGGCCGAUCCAUUAUUGACGAGCACGCUUGGGAGUGUGUACCCCUUGCAUCAAGUGGUGAUGUGCAAGGCCUUAGUUGACCCCCUACCCCCCGGUGGGAUUUCAUCAUCAUUAAAGUAGAUGAAAUUAUCCGCACUUAUGUUAUUCACCAACUGGUCCAGCUUGUUAACAGAUAUGUCGUUGGUGACAUAUGUUUCGUUGAGCACCCUUAUCAAUGCAUUCCGAUGCACCUCAGAAGUCAGAAGUAGAGCCAAUACUGAUAUGCGAGCCGGCUGCCUACGUAACUACUCGACCACACUAUACUCGCUAUGCUUAAGGAACUUUUAGAAAUUCCUUAGCCUCCUCCUCCUUUACUGGCUCCUUGACAGGCACUUCAGCCUCUUUCUCCUUCUCCGCACUAACAUUCUUUGUUUUUGUGGGCUCAUCUCUAACCCCUACCGUAUCAUACCGCUUCCCACUCCGUGUAUGGGAACCCUCAACUUGUACAUCCUUAGUCGUACUGGCUAUACUCUCCUCCUCCGGUAAUGUCACACUGUAGUCGUAACUCUAUGGUACCCUCCUGCUAUCUUUAUAAGGGAAAGGCAUAGGCUUAUGGAUAAUGACUUUAGGCACCGUUUGUGCCCCCACUUCAUUAUUCCCCAGCAGGGAAAUAAUAAUCCUUGGCCGGCUAUUUCCUUUCUGUUCAUUUUUCAGCACACAUACUUUUUUUUCACAAGAGCUACCUUCAAAAUUUUAUAGCUCUUUAUUGUCUAUAAAGCCUUGCACCAAGGCCUUGAAUUCUUCACAAUAUUAAACUUCAUGUCCUUCUUUCUCAUGGAACUCACCAUAGUUCCUUGUUUCUCUUCUUUCAUUCUUAGAGGUUAACAUACCUCUCUUCAUCAUCUCCUCCCAAAUCACCUUCAUAGGAAUCCUCACCUCAACAACAUAUUCUUUCAUUCUUCUCUCACUGGCUUCGCUAAUUGCAUUCACUCCUUGAUUGCUAUGAUUUGGCAACGGGUUUUCAAUAUUAGGGGUAUUGUCAAACUUUACUACCCCCAUCUUAAUAAGCCUCUCUACAGCCUUCUUAAAACCGGUACAGUUUUCGAUUGAAUGCCUCGGUAUUCCAGCAUUGUAAUAUCUCGAAUUAGGGCCUAAUCGGAAUAGUGGUUUCGUGACCAAAAAUACGAGAUAGAAAUAAUUAUUUUAUAAUUAUUUUGAUGUUUAUGAUAUGAUUGCAUGAUUGUGUGAAAAUUUCGUGAUGAAAUCCUAUGCCUAAAGUGCUUAAAUUGAAAUUAGGGACUAAAUCGAAUAAUUUGCAAAACUUGCAUUCUAGGAGUUUUUAGUAUGAAAUUAUUUUUGAAUAUUAAUGAGGAGGUCUUAAAUAGAAAUUUGACCAAUUUCUAAGUCUAUGGACAAAAAUUGGACAUGAUGGAAUUUUUGGAAAGUUUAGUAGUAAGGGCAUUUUGGUCAUUUAGUUAUUAAAAUGAAUUAAAAACAAAAUUAAAAGCCAAUUUUUGUCCAUCUUCUUCAUUAGGCAGAAAUUUCAAGGGUUCUUCAUGGUUAGGGUUUGUUUCAACCUUUCAAUCUCCAUAGUAAGUGAUUCCAAGCCCCGUUUUUAAUGUUCUUUACGUUUUUAGAAUCCCGGUAGCUCGAUUAAGCUUAUGCUAGCAAUAAUUCAACCUAGGGUUCAUAUUUGGAAAAAUACCCAUAGGUGAAAUUUGUGUAUUUUGGUGUUUUAUGAUAGAAUAUGAGGUUUUAAAUUAUGUUAGACAACUUGUACUACUCGAUUUUUAGCGAAAACGAGUAAAAUGGCUUAAUCGGUAAAAAUACCUAAUAGUCAUAAGUACAUGUUAGAGUGUGAAUUUGAUGUUGCUAUAGAAGGGAAAAAUGAUCAGCAUGUCAUAAAACAUAAGAAUAAGGGAUGAAGUUUAAUUCCUGAGCCUAGGGGCAAAAGUGUAAUUAUGCAAAGGUUUAGGGGCAAAAAUGUAAUUUUUCCAUAAUUCGUAUUAAAUGCUGUUUUGAUGAAUGUAUGUAUUAAAUAAGAUUAAUUUGGCAUUAUAGAUCAAGAGAAAUGAGAUUCAAGUCGCGAUCGAGGGAAAAAUAAAGUUUACGAAUAAUAGGAUCGAUUGCUAAUAAUUUUGUACCGAGGUAAGUUCAUGUGUAAAUGUAGUAGCAUAAUUGUCAUUUUAAGAAAUUUAAUGUUGUUUAUAUGAUAUGAUGCUGAAUAUUAUCAUGAAAUAUUAUGCUUUGUGGUUAUUGUUGAAUAAUAUGUAAUUAUGUGAAUUACUUGAUGAGUAUGAACUAUCACCGAAGUGUCGAUUUCGAUAUUCCGUGGAAGACGAAAAAGAUGUGUAAUCGAGGAAAAAGCCCGUUUGAAACUUGGGAAUAGAUUAGAAUACAAGUGACAUGUCAUUAGGAUAUUUGAGUUCCGAACUCGUUGAGUUGAGUCCGAGUUCGUGAGAUGUAACUAGGCAUCCGAGCUCGUUGAGUUGAGUCCGAGUUCACUUAUGGAUGCGAACACCCGAGCUUGUUGAGUUGAGUCCUAGUUCACUUAUGGGCGGGUUACAUGGUAGCUUGGCUACAUAAGUUCCGCAGGCUAUUGAGUUUGUCUAGCUGCGGGUAUGACACUUACGUUCAUGAAAUCCGUGUAUUCGAAUUAUAUUCCGAUGUGUUCAAUGGGUGAAUCUUAAGUGAAUAAGAAGAAGGCCUAAAACGAAGGUGACAUGUUGGUAAGUGUGGUAAAUGAGAAAAUUUGACAGGUAUGUGCUUAAACCCUGGGGUUGAAAACUUGGUAUGAUGAAAUCGUAGAAAGAUAUUAAAUGUAAAUGAGACAUGAAUGUCUUGGUGUUGUUUAUGCAAAUGAUGUUUUAUGUGAGAUUGUGUGAUUAUGUUACUUGCUAUUUGCAUGUGAACUUACUAAUCAUUUAUGCUUACUCCCUUAUUUUUUUUUAUUGUAGUUUUGACAAGCCGGCUUGAGAAUUGGGAUAGGUCGAAGACUCGUUCACACUAUUCGAAGGCCUAAAUUGGUAAAAUGGCUUGUGUGUUUUGAAUGUGGCAUGUAUGGCAAAAUACUCACUUUGUGUAAAUGAUCUUAUGAUAUGGCUAUGGUUUGGCAAGAAAAGGGUUUGUAAAUGAUUAGCCAUUGGAAUGGCCAAUCUAAGUCAUAUUUGAUGUUAUGUAUGUUUAAAAUGCUAUUUAGUCCAUGAAAAUCCUUAGAAAAGUGAAAUUUGCCAUAAAACAGAAUCUGACAGCAGCAGUGAUGUAAAUUUGAAAAAUCACUAAAAAUAGUAGAAAUGGAAUUAAAUGAUGAGUAAGUUAUUAAAUUUAAGCUUAAUGAGUCUAUUUUUAUAUGGAUUGAACAAAAUAGGUAUAUAAAUUAUAUUUUAUGAGAUAUUUGAAUUUUUGUGAAAUAGGGCCAGAGUGAUUUCUGGAUCCCCUAUUCUGACUUUAAAAAUUCAUCAUAAAUUGUAAAAAUAUAAUUAGAAGUCAUAAUUUAUAUGUAAAAAUUCCUUAUUGAGUCUAGUUUUAAUAAAAACAAACUUCAUAGUCAUUGAAAUUCUGUACAGAGAGAUAUCUGAUUCGAAAUAUACAGAUGUCAGAGCAGUUGAACCCUGAAACAGGGGAGACUUUAACUAAUAAACUGUACUAAUUUUCUUGACCAAAAAUUCUAGAAAAAAUUAGUAAAUAGAUAUAUGAGUCUAGUUUCAGGGAAAAUUUACGAAAUUGGGUUUCGAGUUUCGAAACUCGAGAUAUGAAUUUUUAAGCGACUGUAACGUAGAUUGCUAGCUUGACUGGAAAUUUUAAAAAUAAAUUGUUUGAGCUGUUUAAGUAAUGAAUUAAGUCUGUUAACACCUCGUGUUCGACUCCGGCGACGGUCUCGGGUACGGGGCGUUACAAGCAUGGUAUUCGCAUCUAGCGUUUGUGUCGUACCAUUUGGGAUAUGGGGGCUGCAGUGGUUUCAAGUGAAAAGGAGAAAUAGCAUGUGCAUCGUAUAAGCUUUGAUAAAGCUCACGAUACGUCACGGGGAUAGGUGUGAACUGCAUCCUUUCAGAAUUCUACCUUGUACCCGACUUCUAUCUUUGAGAACUCUAUUGCUCAACCGCAGCUAUUUUAGGUUGACCAACUGUGAUUGCCUUCGUGUUGAAGGUGCUUGCGUUAUUCACUUCACUAUCCUUUCUCCUUGGGGCCAAUCUUUUAGUCGCUUCCCCCUCGAUUUUGCCACCCCUUAUGGUAUUCUCGAUCAUCUCUCUCGCCAUGACUAUAUCCGCGAAGCUUUUAGUGGUGCUCCCAAUCAUGUGAGUGAUGAAUGGAGCCUUUAGAGUGUUGAUGAACAACAUGGUAGUCUCCUUCUCCAACAACGGUGGUUGAACUUGCAUUGCCACCUCUCUCCAUCUCUGUGCAUAUUGCCUAAAAUUUUCAUUAGGCUUUUUCUCCAUAUUUUGCAACGUGAUCCUAUCUGGAGUAUGUCAGUCACAUGAUUGUACUGCUGCAUGAAGGCUUGUACAAGAUCCCUCCAUGAAUUUAUUCUGGCCCGGCUCAGUUGAUUAUACCACUUGGCUGCUGCUCCAAUUAAACUGUCUUGGAAACAGUGAAUCAAUAAUUGAUCAUUAUUCACAUACCCAGUCAUCCUCCUACAGAACAUCGUAAUGUGAGCUUCUGGGUAGGUAAUCCCAUUGUACUUCUCAAAUUUUGGCAUCUUGAAUUUGUGAGGAAGGACCAAGUCUAGGACCAAGCUUAGAUCUUUAGCAUCAACUCUAUGAUGCCCAUCAGCACUCUCUAAAGCCGUGAAUUUUUCCUCCAACCAUUUGCAGCGUUCUUCUAACUAUGUUGUAGCCUCAGUUCUUAGAUCCUCUUUUUCAGCCAUGUCUAAGUCAGGAAUGACAGGAUUUGUAAGAUUGUCACCCAAAUUGAAUCUUGAGCCAGUUGGGAAAUUUAUGGGGAUCCCAAUAUCGACAGACCCUUGUUGGGGCCUUAUAGUGACAGAUGGCCUUCUAGGAAGUGUCUCAAUUUGUGUAGGCAUAUGGGGUGGGAUGAAACCUGGAGGAUGGUCCUCACCAUCCUCGCCAGUAAUUGUCAUGGGAGCUUUUCCAUUAUCAGUGGCCCUCAGUAAUUGAGCCAUCUCAGCCGUUAUGUUCCUUUGAGCCUCUAACAUUUGCUCCCUCAUGUCGUUUUGCAUUUUUCCAAUUGCUCUUGCAAUUGGUCCUGCAUGUCCUUCUAUAGCUUUUCAAAUCUUUGGUCCAUGUUCUUAGUUUUUGCACGAGUUCCAUAGUGAUGUGUGAUUUCCAGAUUUUCCUCCCUAACUAUGAGUAAUUUUAACUAAUUAGGGUCUUUCUAUAACCUCGAAUACAUAUGAUGCAAUGAGAUGCUAUGAAAUGUAAAUGCAUGAAUGCAAAAAGAUGUCGAUUCCGAUUCAAUUUCAUUUUAGAAAACGUUAUUUAAGGAACAAAAAUCUUUUCAUAAAAUGGAUAACAAAUACGCUUUUGCCCGUAGGCCUAGAGUCUUAACCCUAUCUAAUAACAAUGCUAACUUUCGUCCUCUGUCUGACGAUGACUCAUACAUUAUACUCAGCGUUCUAGCUUGUACCGCCAAAUCCUGCAAGUGUUCAGCAACCUCUCGAACCUGAACUAAGGCUUCUCCCAUGAGAUAAUCCCUAUUUCCAACUUGAUCCUGGAGAUGGUGAAGUUCUCCCUUCCACUGUUCUUCUCUUGCCUCGAGCUACUCAAUUCGUAGCUCACAGUUCUGUAGUGCUGCUUCCAAACCUCCAAUAUCGUGCUCCAUUUCCUCGAUCUUAUUCAAGCUUGCCUUUAACUCGAUCGCAGAGUUACGACCUCGGUGAUGAUGAAGAGAUCGUCCAAGUUCAGCUACCUUAGUUUUUAAUCCUUGAUUUUCCUUCUCUAGGGCCUGAUUACGCGACUGCAUCUCUUGGAACUUCUUCUCCCAAUACUCGAUUUUGGCUCUUUCUUCCUGAAUCUCUUGCUGCCAUUGCUCUGAAGAUCUCCCUAAUCUGACCCUUUUCAGCGUUAUCUGAGCCUUCUUGUAGUGUGUCCUUAAAUCAUCUCGAUCUUCCUCGAUCUUUCUCUUUUCCUUUUUCACCUUCUCGACUUCCAUCUUUUGAACAUCGACGUCGAGACUCAAGCACAUUUUUUCCUCUUCGAGCUUCUCAAUCCUCUUUUCAAGCUCCGAAUUCUUUCUCUCGAACUCUUGCUUCAUAAUCUCCAACUCUGAUGGAACCACUCGUAAGCUCUCCUCUAAUGAUUGAGCCAACCCCAAAAUUGGCCUAGGGACAUUAUCAUUGACUCUCCUACUAAACCAUCCUUUAUACUCAAGGGUUGACGUCGAGCCUUCGGUCAAGAUCUUCAUACAGAAAGGCUUCUUCCAAGCCCCAGAAAUCUCUCACAUCCUCUUCUUAUAGUGAUCUCCUUUAUAAGAGAAAUCACUCUGAGCUAAACCCUGUGUAACCGGUAUGAUCUGCCUCGCUCGAUAUUGCCUUAGAACAAGCAAUGGUGCAUAUCCAACAAUUCCCCAAAUUCCUGGCAAAUGGACCGAAUCAAAACUGCCACAGCGGUAAAGGACUUCACUAGGAACCAACCAAGGAGCCUUCCACAUAACAUCUUCCUCUCGAAGAUUCUGAAGAAUGUCUAUCCACAUCUCCUCUGAAAUGUCAUCUCUCCUAGGCACGUCUAUUGCUUCCUUUAAGGGAGAAUAACCCUCAAAGAAUACUCGGCAAGGAACCUUAUCAAGCUUCCAAAAAUGACUGUGGAACCAAACCAACAGCAACUGUGCGCAUCCAAUGAAUCUACCCUCACCAGCCCUCCGACAUGCACUCAAAGAUCUAAAUGUCUCAGCUAGGAUUGCUGGUACCGGUGUAUUCUGCUUACCGACACGAUCGAACAAAUUCGCAACUGCCUCAUCUAUGUGCCCCAACGCCUUUGGGAAAAUCACCAUGCCGUAAAUACUCAAAGCUAGGACGUCGACCCUUUUCUUUACGUCUGGAUGUGUCGAUAUCAAAUCCCUCAAAACGGCCCAUGGAACGCACUUACUAUCACCUUUUUGCUGCACACGAGCUACAACCCACUGCUCACUCAUCCCAGUAAUCAUUACUAACUUCUUCGUAAAAGUUGGAAGGCUAACAGGCCUAACAUAAGCCUUGUGACCCUGAAUCCUCGGGCAACGCAGUAAAGUCGUAUACUCCUCCAAAGUAGGUACAAGAUCAACAUCACCAAAUGUAAAGUAACUAUAAGCAGGGUUCCAGAACUGUACCAUAGCUCGAAACAAGUGCCUAUCUACUAUGACGUCUAGCAAAUAAGGAAGAUCUCCAUAAUUCUGAUAGAAAAGUUGCUUAGCCUCGUCAUCCCAUUGGGCCCAAAUGUCUCUCAACUCCGGAAACUCAUUUUGCGUCGAAUUAAUACGGGUGAAGUCCCAUAACUCUGAUGUAUGCCCCUCAGUGACACUAUCUGCUUUAUUUAAAAAAAAUCUUUUUGGAUCGAAUGAAAUAUAAAAAAAAUCUUUAAAGUGAUGGUGCAUUUAAAAUGUUGCAAAGGAUCAAUAUUAACCUACACGAUACCUAUUUUAACAUUCCAUACAAAUAUAGUAAAGAUGAUGAGUAACAGCAUAAAUUACACAAUAUACGCCAUCAUUUUAUGUAUAUGUGAACAUAGAUAAUAUAAAAUAUACAUGCAUUAUCGUUACAUAUUAAAUAUAACAUAGAGCAUAAUGAAUACAACAAUAUAAAUUGCAUAAUAUAUAUGUGAUAAUAUUUUAUGCAAAUGUAACUUAGAUAAUUAAUUUUCAUGCAAAUAUAUAAAAACAAUAACAUAAAGUAAUAAAUAAAUCUAUAAAAUUUAACUUACUAAAACAAUACUAAAAAAAACAAAAAUAGAUAUGCAAAUUCAGGUCAUAUAAAACUAUAAAUCAACUAAAAUUAAAAUAAAGAUAUUUAGAAAUAUUUAGAAAUAUUUAGAAAUAAUAUAAGAAUGAUAAGUAGAAUUUUUUUUAAAAAAAUGAUUAAUAUAAAUCAUGUUAUAGAAUAUAAUAACUUAAUAUAUAUUAAAUAAUGUACUAAAUAGUAUUAUUACACAUAUUUAUUUAAUAAUAAUAAAACAUGUGUAGUUAAUGAGUAAUAAAAUAAUGUAUAUUUUAUAAUAAAAUAAAAGUAAUGUAAGGAAUAAUAUAGCGUAUAAUAUAUAGCGUAUAAUAUAAUUUAUAAAUAAAAUGUAUAAAAAUAAUAUAAUGGAUUAUAAAAAUAAUAUAUAUUACUUUAUAUAACUAAUAUUUAUAAAAAUAAAUAAUAUAUAAAGUAUUUAAUAAAUAAAUUAUGCAAAUAUAUAUAUAUAUAUUUAAAGGGAUUAAAAUUAAAUAAAACUAAAGUUCUAGGGCUAAAAAUAACAAAAAAAAGGUUUAGGCCUAAUUGGAACGCGUUCAAAACUACGAGGGACUCACUGGGCAAUUUGCCCUAAUCCCAAAACGACGUCGUUCUUCAGAAUGAAUUUUAAUGGCCGUUAGGAUUAAAUUGAAACAAUUAUAAAAGAUUAGGGCCGAAUUAAAAUAAAAAUAAAAUGAAAUUACAAAGACCAAAAAUGCGAAAGGACCCAUUGAGAAAUUAGUCCAUUUUUAAAAAACACGCGGAUCCUCCCCGGGUCAUGGGUCAAUAUGCGGAUCCUCAGCAUUAAUACGACGCCGUUUUGAAGCUUAUAAUUUUAAGCAAAACGGCACCGUUUUGUUAAGGCUAUAUAAGCCAAAUUUCAGUUUUGAAAUCAUUUUAAAAUUUGAUUUAAAAAAAAAAAAAAGAAAACCCUCUGAAGGAGGGAUGAGGAAGGGUUCCCGGAGUUCCCUUGAACCUCCGGCCAAAGGUUUGCACGCGCCCAUGCACCACCGUCAACGGCGCUAUAUACGGCGGUCAGAAGCUGGAAAGCUUCCUGUUUCACCACAAAUCAAAACGGUACGUCCCUUUUGUUCUAUUUUUAUGCUUUUAAUAUGUAUUUAGAGAGAAAAAAAAGAAAUAUAGUAAUCACCUAUGUAUUCUCCAGUCGACUGUUGAUUUCUUUUAGUGUAAAAUGCGUUCUUGUUUUUUAUUGAAUCUCCUUAAAAAAAAUUCUCCUUACAUCGUUUUAAUUCGGGCUUUUUAUAGCCACUAUACAUAGUAUUUUACAUAUUUAAUGUUAUUUCCUGCCAUAUUUGUGUUGCCUCUGUCGUUCUUCUUUCCCCUUUUGCAAGUACCAACGAGGAGAUUUAGCAGUGAACGAACGCUGACAACGGUACACCGGCGUUGAUUCGGGCGUCGACCACGGCAUGAUUCGAAGCCUGGAAUCAUGGCCUGGAACCACGGCACUGAUAGUGGGUAACUGGAACGACGCGAGAUGAACAGACGCGUUGAUUGAAAUGUUUGCGGCGCUUAGGGUUUCUGAAACCCUAGGCCUCUCUGUCUUCCAUUCGUAAAUUGGGCCACUUGGGCCCUGUGUAUUUUGGGUAGCAUACAGGCUUGGGUGUAAUUGGGCCCUGGUUAGUUUUAGGUAUCUAGGCUAAGGGUUUUAGGCCUUUUGGGUGCAAAUGUAAACGGGUAAUGGGCUGUAAAUGUAAAUGAGUUUUGGGCUUUGUACAUGGACUGUAUAAACUUUAUUAUUUUUUUAAUUUAUGUUUUUGUUUUUAUUUAUUCAUUUAUGGGCUGGGCAAAUUUAGUUAUUACAAUAUGAUUUACAAUAUAAUAUAUC
Molecule: long non-coding RNA, 20347 nt
Filed under: Gossypium barbadense (sea-island cotton)
Lineage: Eukaryota; Viridiplantae; Streptophyta; Magnoliopsida; Malvales; Malvaceae
Description: long non-coding RNA (GBAR_LNC012590)
Source: RNAcentral